GAAACUGCAGGUUCCACAAUAGGGUGCUGAACAGUUGACACGUUAGCUGGAGAAGGAGAAAAGGUGGACAUGUCCAUAGGAUGGGAGUAAGCAAGCGUAACAGGCGCUGUGAACGUGUGAUUAGUUUCAACAGUGGCUGCAACCUUUGAACAAGUUGCCUCUCUCGACCGGGCAAGAAUAAUGGGGCAAUUUUCAUGUCUAUGACCGAUAAUAACACAAGAAAAAUAGAAUAAAUCGAG
This 239-nucleotide long non-coding RNA is filed under the name Gossypium raimondii (Peruvian cotton). RNAcentral describes it as "long non-coding RNA (GRAI_LNC009037)". Lineage: Eukaryota; Viridiplantae; Streptophyta; Magnoliopsida; Malvales; Malvaceae. The record is from RNAcentral.